Molecule: ribosomal RNA, 216 nt
Filed under: Glomeromycotina sp.
Lineage: Eukaryota; Fungi; Glomeromycota
Description: partial small subunit ribosomal RNA
Rfam family: Eukaryotic small subunit ribosomal RNA (bases 40-216)
Source: RNAcentral
GGGUCAGUAGGUUGGUCGUGCCACCGGUACGUACUGGUCUCACUGAUUCCUCCUUCCUGAAGAACCGUAAUGCCAUUAAUUUGGUGUUGCGGGGAAACAGGACUGUUACUUUGAAAAAGUUAGAGUGUUUAAGGCAAGCUAACGCUUGAAUACAUUAGCAUGGAAUAAUGAAAUAGGACGAUCGAUCCUAUUUUGUUGGUUUCUAGGAUUGACGUA